UGUGUACACACACGUGAGUGCCUACCGCU
RNAcentral lists this non-coding RNA (29 nucleotides) under Rattus norvegicus (Norway rat). The record is from RNAcentral. Lineage: Eukaryota; Metazoa; Chordata; Mammalia; Rodentia; Muridae.